RNAcentral lists this ribosomal RNA (265 nucleotides) under uncultured bacterium. RNAcentral's name for it is "partial 16S ribosomal RNA". It matches the Rfam family "Bacterial small subunit ribosomal RNA", at positions 793 to 1055 of the family's 1533-position model. The record is from RNAcentral.
GUCCACGCCCUAAACGAUGUCUACUAGUUGUUGGUGGAGUAAAUCCAUGAGUAACGCAGCUAACGCGUGAAGUAGACCGCCUGGGGAGUACGGUCGCAAGAUUAAAACUCAAAGGAAUUGACGGGGGCCCGCACAAGCGGUGGAUUAUGUGGAUUAAUUCGAUGCAACGCGAAAAACCUUACCUGGCCUUGACAUGUAACGAACUUUCCAGAGAUGGAUUGGUGCUCGAAAGAGAACGUUAACACAGGUGCUGCAUGGCUGUCGU